AAAUAGAUUCCUUUACAAAGUUUAUCAGAAAAGAUGUACCAUUGACCAAAGUUCAAAAUAACUGUCUCCAGUACAAAUUUGCUAUUACAUACAAAUUCAGAGCCCUAUUAUGUGAAGUACUGGCAGAUAGUAUCUAUGUUUUUAUAUACCAGCAUUUAUAUCGAGAGAUUCAAUAAUGUCUUUUUAGAGAUUUAUGGACAAGCAUUGGUAAGUUGUGAAUUGCUGACAGCAUAUGUGCAAGCAAAUCCACAAGAAGACUUGGAAAAAUGGUGUAAUCAAGCAAAAACAUGAUAAAUUUUAGGUGGCAGAUCAUAUUUCCUCCAAGUAUAGAUACUAUAGGGUUUCCCUAAAAAUUUAACUUGACCACAGCGAACUAACUUGUUCCCCAAGUUACUCACAGGAGACAAUUUUACUGAAUAGGAAAAAGAAUUCAAGAUAUUGCACAUGUCAUUAAGCAUGAAACAAAAAUGAGAUAGGCGCAGUAUGCUGUCAGUUCCACCCCAUAUUAUUCAGAUACAUGCCAACAUACAAUUUUCAGAAGGAAAUCUGGAAUAUAAGAAAUACUAUAAUUUAUCUGCAGGAAUCUUUUAGCUUCUAAUAUUAUCAUAUUUAACUGUUGAAACAGUGAAUGACAAUUCUAGAU
This 643-nucleotide long non-coding RNA is filed under the name Phoenix dactylifera (date palm). Its description in RNAcentral is "long non-coding RNA (PDAC_LNC020082)". Lineage: Eukaryota; Viridiplantae; Streptophyta; Magnoliopsida; Arecales; Arecaceae. The record is from RNAcentral.